Molecule: ribosomal RNA, 522 nt
Filed under: uncultured Glomus
Lineage: Eukaryota; Fungi; Glomeromycota; Glomeromycetes; Glomerales; Glomeraceae
Description: SSU rRNA
Rfam family: Eukaryotic small subunit ribosomal RNA
Source: RNAcentral
AGCAGCCGCGGUAAUUCCAGCUCCAAUAGCGUAUAUUAAAGUUGUUGCAGUUAAAAAGCUCGUAGUUGAAUUUCGGGGUCAGUAGGUCGGUCGUGCCACUGGUAUGAACUGGUUUUACUGAUUCCUCCCUCUUGAAGAACUGUAAUGCCAUUAAUUUGGUGUUGCAGGGAAUCAGGACUGUUACUUUGAAAAAAUUAGAGUGUUUAAAGCAGGCUUUAGCUUGAAUACAUUAGCAUGGAAUAAUGAAAUAGGACGUUUGAUCCUAUUUUGUUGGUUUCUAGGAUUGACGUAAUGAUUAAUAGGGAUAGUUGGGAGCAUUAGUAUUCAAUUGUCAGAGGUGAAAUUCUUGGAUUUAUUGAAGACUAACUACUGCGAAAGCAUUUGCCAAGGAUGUUUUCAUUAAUCAAGAACGAAAGUUAGGGGAUCGAAGACGAUCAGAUACCGUCGUAGUCUUAACCAUAAACUAUGCCGACUAGGGAUCGGAUGAUGUUGAUUUUUUAAUGACUCAUUCGGCGCCUUACG